Molecule: long non-coding RNA, 772 nt
Filed under: Toxoplasma gondii VEG
Lineage: Eukaryota; Apicomplexa; Conoidasida; Eucoccidiorida; Sarcocystidae
Source: RNAcentral
CACUUUUUCCCUAUGUCUUUACCAUGUUCGUCUAGCUGUUAUAGACUUAAACUCUAACUCUUCAUUGUCCGUGACACUCUGAAGCCCUCUACACCUGUGGUCACUUCAAGUUCCAAUCGACAGAGUUGACGGUUGCAGCGUCUGACUCAUCCAGAGUUUUAUGUUAGACUGCCUUGUGCAGCUUCCCGUAAUUUCCUUCCCAGGUAGCCGCCACAGUUGUGGUGGGACAAAGAAGCGUACACUGAAAAUGUGGUUGUUAUCUCUUGGGUCCACACGACGCUAACUUACACGCCCGGACCUACAGGUCGAGAAGUGCUUGAAUUCGUGGGCAAGCAUGAAUAUUUGCUUCUUUCCACGGGCAUUUUGAUAUGAUCACCUCAAAGGCUUUACUACGUCAUGUGCCCAUUCUUCUUUCUAGACCUCAGUGCGAUUUCUGCAGUUCCCUUUCCAGUUCAACUCCUGAGGUACGUGAGUGUGAAGAUCGCUUAGUUCUGAGGUCGCACGUAUCGCGGUUGCGAGGAUGUUAGUCCGGCGAGUCUGUUCUGCCACUAGGAGAGCCGUUUUAGUCGCAUCACCUGUUCGUUUUCUUCGAGGGGUUACUGACUUUCUGACCUCUUGACACCCAAGACGCGAGGCUGGACUCUCGGUUGCCCUCACACGGACACGCUGGGCAGUUUGUUCAUGGUUCUACGUGAAAAUGGUGAAUGCAAACUUGUCUUCAUAAAGACUCCCCAAAAGAAAUGACGGAACUGCCGCCAGUCAUUGUUCCGGC